This 701-nucleotide long non-coding RNA is filed under the name Heterocephalus glaber (naked mole-rat). Its description in RNAcentral is "lncRNA (ENSHGLG00100041915.1)". The record is from RNAcentral. Lineage: Eukaryota; Metazoa; Chordata; Mammalia; Rodentia; Bathyergidae.
CAUCCACUCCCUCUUUUUCCUCCCCCCCGGAGUUUACUCUUGCGAGCCAUACUGCUCCUGCCGCCCGCGGAAACCCUGAGCGGGAGCGAAAGACCCGAAACCCAGUCAGGAACCCGCGUGCUAACGGAGCGCACUGGCAACGCCUCCCUUCUGUUUUAGCGACGCGCUCUGGCCGCCCGCAAACUUCAAUUCCCACGUUCCUUUGCGCCCGAAUCCCCAAGCAAAGCACAGGGCCGUGGAGCAGUGCACGCCGGGCGUUGUAGUCCAGCAGCGAGGAGCACUCUCCGGUCUUCUCAGCCCUCUCUGCGAGGUACUCCAGCCUCCAACAAGUUUCUUGGCUGGGAUUGCUAAUGCUGGGAACUGCAAGAUCUAGAUUGGCCUCAUCUAUUGUACCUAAGAAAAUAAAUUUCCUUGCAUUAUUCUCUUCUUCAUGAAAAAAAAUGCCUUGAAGUAAAAGGAGAUUCUACUGCCUACAAAAAUUUCUCUGAGCAGCCCAACAUGUAGGAUGAUGUGGAGAAAAUGUAGAAGUUUCAAACAGGCAAAUACUGGCAUUGGCCUUGGGAGCUUAUUCACUUCCUGUGUCAUGUGUCAUGUUCCGGUUUAUGUCUGGAGCAUAAAAGAAAGAAAGUUCAUGGGUUUUAUUAUUGUUCUUCUUUUGGUACUGGGGAUCAAACUCGGGUCCUUGCACAGCAGGUGGCGAA